GAGGUAGCUGGAAUAAGUAGUGUAGCGGUGAAAUGCAUAGAUAUUACUUAGAACACCAAUUGCGAAGGCAGGUUACCAAGUCUUAACUGACGCUGAUGGACGAAAGCGUGGGGAGCGAACAGGAUUAGAUACCCUGGUAGUCCACGCCGUAAACGAUGCUAACUCGUUUUUGGGUCUUCGGAUUCAGAGACUAAGCGAAAGUGAUAAGUUAGCCACCUGGGGAGUACGUUCGCAAGAAUGAAACUCAAAGGAAUUGACGGGGGCCCGCACAAGCGGUGGAGCAUGUGGUUUAAUUCGAUGAUACGCGAGGAACCUUACCAAGACUUAAAUGGGAAAUGACAGGUUUAGAAAUAGAUCCUUCUUCGGACAUUUUUCAAGGUGCUGCAUGGUUGUCGUCAGCUCGUGCCGUGAGGUGUUAGGUUAAGUCCUGCAACGAGCGCAACCCCUGUCACUAGUUGCUAACAUUCAGUUGAGGACUCUAGUGAGACUGCCUACGCAAGUAGAGAGGAAGGUGGGGAUGACGUCAAAUCAUCACGGCCCUUACGUCUUGGGCCACACACGUGCUACAAUGGCCAGUACAGAGGGCAGCUACCAGGUGACUGGAUGCGAAUCUCGAAAGCUGGUCUCAGUUCGGAUUGGAGUCUGCAACUCGACUCUAUGAAGCUGGAAUCGCUAGUAAUCGCGCAUCAGCCAUGGCGCGGUGAAUACGUUCCCGGGCCUUGUACACACCGCCCGUCAGCCAUGGAAGUCUGGGGUACCUGAAGUCGGUGACCGUAACAGAGCUGCCUAGGGUAAAACAGGUAACUAGGGCGAA
Molecule: ribosomal RNA, 814 nt
Filed under: Chryseobacterium sp.
Lineage: Bacteria; Pseudomonadati; Bacteroidota; Flavobacteriia; Flavobacteriales; Weeksellaceae
Description: bacterial SSU rRNA
Rfam family: Bacterial small subunit ribosomal RNA
Source: RNAcentral